CCUCCCUAUUUGCCUACUCUUCAUCAUCCUUGGCUGCGGCACACAGCCAUGAGGGUCAAGUCGAGGACCAACGUCGGCGGCGCGCAGGCCAACCCCAACCACCGCGGCUACUCCCGCAUUAGGCAUCACAGCAGCGGCUGAGCUCCUGCCGCCGCUGCUGGGCCGGCCACCUCCUCUCCCCGGCCUCCUUCCUCGGGUGCCCUCCACUGCCGGAUCCGCCGAUGGAAGUGGGCAACCGCCACUGAGAGGCAUCUAUGCCUACGGUAUGUAAAAAUCUAUACUUCUUGAUGUGCUUCCCCUUCCCAAUCCAAAUCGGAUUUGCAGUCACUUGAUCGAACUCACCCCAGCACAAAUCGAGUCCUUUGCCCUCCGAUUAAGCCUCUGAUUCACUUUCUAUCUAUUUCCUCUUGAGCAUCGAAUCCAUCUCCCAACUCUGUUCUUCCCUGCCAGAUUGUUUCUGUUCAGGUCCAAUCCAUGCCUUCCCUCUUUUCUGGCUAGAGUUAGAACACAUUUUCUCUUCCCUCCGUUUAUUUACGUGCUUCUUAAUAUGAUCAGAUAGUCCCUUGUCUCUCUCGGUGAAGGUUCUGUUUUUAACAAUAUCCAGAGUUUUCUUUGCUAUAAAAUUUCUUUCUAGAUGGUUCCUAUUUUUGUAGGCUGCAAAGUAAACUGAAGGACCAUUCCAACCAAUGUAGUAUCUCUAAGUAAAAUUGCUCAUCAGGUGUCGUACUUCAGUCCUGUAAAGCUCUAACUUUUACAUCUCUUUGUGCACCUUCAGCAUCUGUAUCUGUACAGCCAUGCCACGGUAGGUUUUUGUUACCCUUAUAUGCUGUUUGUUCUGGUUUUUGUAUAAUCCUCAAAAUCUAUAUGAUUGAAAGAGGGAUGCUUGCAAGCGAACCGGAGGUAGAGGCGAUGCAGCCAUGUUCACCGAAGAAGCCGCCGGGAAGCUACAUUACUCCUACUCCUAAAGGCUUUUCUAGAUGCUAGUAAAGAUCUGACGGAAAGGGAAACACCAACAGAUAGAUUAAUAUGUGCAGACGUGAUGAAGUUUGCCAACUUUGAAUUCGGUUUGUCAUUGUUCCCUGAUCUUGAGGCAAUUUAAGGCUUUGCCAGGUCUGUACCUUUUCCUCCACCUUCAUUGGCAAUGAUCUGAGUACAUCCCACCGUAUUUUUUGUAAAAUUAAUUUUACAUAUAUGCCCAGUUGCUUACCUGCUGACCAAUGUACCUUUUUACUGAUUAGAUCACACACACACACACACACACACACACCCCUAGAAGUCAAGCUUGCUACCUUCUACUGAUGCAAUAGGACACCCGAAUCUUGGUUAUAUUUUAUUGGAAGCGAAGUCCAACAAGGCAAACAGUGGCUUUACAAAGAUGGAGGAGAGUAACUUGCUCCUUCCUGGCCUGAGAAUUGACCAAGUCCUCAGUAAAUAAAUGGUUGGAAAAUUGGAAAUAGAGCUAGAUUACAGUCCAAAUGGUAUGGCAAUUUGGAAAAGCAAAUGUAGCUUUCCCAUGAUUUAGUGAACAAACUUGGCUAUACACUUAUUGUCUCUAACAAGCAGGUUAGUGCUCUUCAUGUGACUUGAGUUACUGUAAAAUGUAAUAUCCUUAUAUUAUCAUAUCAUUUCUCUGUUCUUACCAUAAUAGCUAAAUUCGAAUGGGUUUCUGAUGUGAUCUGGACUUUUUGUUUCUUUACAAAUGCAGGGGGAAGAAGUUAAGUUGCUAUUUCAAAAGGAUCAACAUGAAGGUUUCAAGAAUGUUGGACUCCUUCGCCCUCCUAUACAGCUGAUUCUUUACAGCAUGCAUACUCUUUACUUUGUGCCUUUUCUAGUGUUGUUGACUGCCACUGCCCUUGCAAAUUGUGUCCGUGAGUCCAUAAAAUGCUGAGGCCUGAGAUCAAAGAUCAGUAGAUCGUCUGACACCUACAUGGUUGCAUGGGCUGCGUCAAGGCAGGGGGCCAGGGGACUCGUCAUAGGCAGCGGCGACGGCCUAUGGGAUUGACGAUUGACGAUCGCGACUCGCAAGUUCGCGACGGCCAAUGACGACGCCGAAUGAGGAAGGGACACACUACUUGAUGCGGACGACGCUCGCUGCCAUGAUUCAGUUGCCGUAAUGUACCGGACAACCAACGCUCAACCAAUAGAGCAUGGUGGAUGGAUUAAUAGGUCAUGGACUGUCAAGUUUUGGAGGCCCGGAGCGGUCACCCACCUCGCUCAUGGCCAUCUGAUCAUAUCCCAGACAUGAAAGAGUGUGAAAUCGUAGAAAAAAUUUGUCUUCUGUAUGGCCACUGACUACACGCUUUACUGCUUACUUGCAGCUAUUCAUGUUCCAAGUGUGAAAAUGUUGACAAGUUAUGCAUUC
Panicum hallii is the source of this 2362-nucleotide long non-coding RNA. RefSeq lists it as uncharacterized. Lineage: Eukaryota; Viridiplantae; Streptophyta; Magnoliopsida; Poales; Poaceae. The transcript has 4 exons. The record is from RefSeq and is a predicted model, not a curated record.